GACAGAGGGUGCAAACGUUGUUCGGAAUUACUGGGCGUAAAGCGCGUGUAGGCGGCUUGGCAAGUCGGGUGUGAAAGCCCCGGGCUCAACCUGGGAAGUGCACUCGAAACUGCUUGGCUUGAGUACUGGAGAGGGAAGCGGAAUUCUCGGUGUAGAGGUGAAAUUCGUAGAUAUCGAGAGGAACACCGGUGGUGAAGGCGGCUUCCUGGACAGUUACUGACGCUGAGACGCGAAAGCGUGGGGAGCAAACAGG
RNAcentral lists this ribosomal RNA (253 nucleotides) under uncultured bacterium. RNAcentral's name for it is "partial 16S ribosomal RNA". It matches the Rfam family "Bacterial small subunit ribosomal RNA", at positions 524 to 776 of the family's 1533-position model. The record is from RNAcentral.